Molecule: ribosomal RNA, 503 nt
Filed under: uncultured bacterium
Lineage: Bacteria
Description: partial 16S ribosomal RNA
Rfam family: Bacterial small subunit ribosomal RNA
Source: RNAcentral
AUUGAACGCUGGCGGCAGGCUUAACACAUGCAAGUCGAGCGGGGUGAUGGUGCUUGCACUAUCACUUAGCGGCGGACGGGUGAGUAAUGCUUAGGAAUCUGCCUAUUAGUGGGGGACAACAUCUCGAAAGGGAUGCUAAUACCGCAUACGUCCUACGGGAGAAAGCAGGGGAUCACUUGUGACCUUGCGCUAAUAGAUGAGCCUAAGUCGGAUUAGCUAGUUGGUGGGGUAAAGGCCUACCAAGGCGACGAUCUGUAGCGGGUGUGAGAGGAUGAUCCGCCACACUGGGACUGAGACACGGCCCAGACUCCUACGGGAGGCAGCAGUGGGGAAUAUUGGACAAUGGGGGGAACCCUGAUCCAGCCAUGCCGCGUGUGUGAAGAAGGCCUUAUGGUUGUAAAGCACUUUAAGCGAGGAGGAGGCUCUUUUGGUUAAUACCCAGAAUGAGUGGACGUUACUCGCAGAAUAAGCACCGGCUAACUCUGUGCCAGCAGCCGCAGUAA